Gopherus flavomarginatus (Mexican gopher tortoise) is the source of this 839-nucleotide long non-coding RNA. RefSeq lists it as uncharacterized. NCBI's taxonomy places the organism in Eukaryota, Metazoa, Chordata, Testudines, Testudinidae. The transcript is spliced from 3 exons. The record is from RefSeq and is a predicted model, not a curated record.
CUUUGCCGUGCAGUCCCAAGUGAGAGAGACACAGAGACAGACCGAGCACCUAGAAACCUGAACAAGGACCGAAUGCAGCAGACUGCGCAUCACUGAAAGUUUGCAGAGGACACAGAAGUUGGGGGAGUGGUAAAGAAAGAAGAGGACGAUGGGUCACUGAUUCAGACCAGUCUAUAUCACUUGGGGCAGAACCCAACCAUGCUCCAGGCCAUCCAAUGCCUCAGGCUGGUGCUAGAGGCCCCACCCACGGGGCGAGAUGUAGAACUUCAGCCCUCAGCCGUACAUGAAACCAGGAGAUUUCCCAGAACCUGCUGUCCUAGACCAAUCCCAGCUCAGAGAAUUACCCUCAGCCUAAUUAAACUUCCCCUGCAGCAUCACCCAGAUACAGCAUUCCCUUCUCCUCCUGUCCCAAUCUGUGGUAUGGGAGGGGUUGUCAUUCUAGCUGCCAUGUUCUGCCCUGGGGGCAGCUGCAUUUCACUGGCAGGUGAAGUAAGCCCCAGAUCUGUGUCAUUUGGGACCCUGGCGGAUGAAAGGUGCUCUAGACAUGCAAGUUGCAGAUAUAGCUGGAACUGAGGAGUUGUGCAAUUUUGGGAACUCUUCCAGUGCCAGACCCAGAGGGGCCAUGGAUCAGAUCCCACUGACCAAGGAACCCCCAGCCAAAUAAGGAGGGCUCUGCAGCACCCUGCCACAGGUUCCCUACUUGCAGGGCCACUUAAGAACUCCACACAGUGCAAAGACAACAAGAAAAUCUCCCUACUCGACGAUUUCUACUUCAUUCAGUGUGAAAAAAGUUGAAAGAAAAUCUCUAGCCCCCAGCUUCUACCCUUCAGUUCAGGGGG